UUUUUGUAUUUUUAGUAGAGACGGGGUUUCACCGUUUUAGCCGGGAUGGUCUUGAUCUCCUGACCUCGUGAUCCGCCCGCCUCGGCCUCCCAAAGUGCUGGGAUUACAGGCGUGAGCCACCGCGCCCGGCCAAAUGCUACCAUUGUUAAGUGCCAGGCGUCCCACCAUGCGGGUCUUCACUGCGUAUCCACGUAGCUGCACCACGCAGGCAUUCUUUCCUCCCUUUUGCAGAUGAUGGCACCAAAGUUCAAGACUCGCCCAGGGCCACCAAGACAGUCCUCUAGACUUUGGUCUUCCCUCCUUGCCUCCUCGGCCUGGGGUGGUGGCGCCUCGGUCUGAGAAGGGUCGAGGUCUGGGUGCUGCUAGUGGCCCUGGCUCAGUCUCAGAGCUGCCCGGAGGGGGUGAGGAUGGCUAACUUAAGGAGCACAGGCAGAGGCUUCCUGCUGGCAGGAAGAGGGCUGAGCUGCGGAAGGCCACCCAGGUGGAGUGUGCUGCACCUCCUUCAGUGGCCUUCAGGAGCUCUGUCCUCACCCAGGGAUUGGGGUGAGUCAGGGCAUGGGGAAACAGGCUCACAGAGCCCACCUGCUCACCCUGACCACCCCACCCCAGGGGACCCCAGGCUCUUGGCUCCCAGAAACGGAAACCAUGCCUGGGCCUGCUCCCCUUCCUUGGGCUGUGACCCCCCUGCCACAGAGGCCCCCCCCCCGCCACAGAGGUCCCCCCUGCCACAGAGGUCCCCCUGCCACAGAGGCCUGGUGGCCCCUGAGCUGCUGCUCCGAGUGGAAUGUCCUGGUCUAGAGGCCCUUGGCUGCUCCAGUGUCUUAAGACCCAUAUAUGAGUGCUGGCUCUGACCUUGAACAAGCUCCUCCAUCGCUCCAGGCCUCGUUUUUCAGGUGUAUAUGAUGAUAGUAUCUCUAGGCCUCGUUUUUCAGUUGUAAAGCAGGGAUGAUCAUAUGUGUUUAACUCCCAGAUUGUUAUCAAGUCAAGGACAACAAUAGGAAAACAUGUCACCUGUCAGCUCCACACAAGGCAAAGUAGGAUGGGUGACCCCUGACUAGGGGGUGGGAGUGCAGGGGGCACCCGACCCAUCUGGCCAGCCACAGCCUCUGUACCCUGCUCGCAUUUUCAGGCCUCAAUCCCCAAGCACUGUUGGCCCUGGACUGUUUCCCCCCCUCAAUUCUGUUUCUCAAUGCCUGCUUCUUCCCAGUAAGUGCCACACCCUGAGGGUGGGUGGGAGAGUGAGGCAGCACUGCCCACUUUGGCUGGGACUGGGCACUGCUGGGGACAGCACGGGCCACGUCUUCCCCAUCUCAAGACUGGCUUUUUGGCUAGGCAUUGUGACUCACGCCUGUAAUCUCAGCACUUUGGGAGGCUGAGGUGGGAGAAUUGCUUCAGCCCAGGAGUUCCAGACCAGCCUGGGCAAAAUAGCAAGAAUUCAUCUUUAUGAAAAAGAAAAAAAAAAUUAGCCAGGCAUGGUGGCACACACUUAUAGUCCCAGAUACUUAGGAGGCCGAGGUGGGAGGAUCCCUUGAGCCCAUGAGUUGGAGGCCGUGGUGAGCUAUCAGUUGCACCACUGCACUCCAGCCUGGAUGGCAGAGCAAGACCCCAACUCAAAAAAAAAAAAAAAAAAAAAAAGGCGGCCUUUUCCCAGCUGGCAGCACCCUGGCUAGUUAGGGUUUCUCCGAAUCUGCAACUCCUGUGUGAUGGCGGGUCUCAAAUGCUGGCAGCAGAGUCACCGGUCAGCGGCAAGACCUGGAGUCUCCAUUUGGAACCAGCACCCGGGAGCCUCUGCUGGGGGUGAUCAUGGAGCCGCACGUGGAGGCUGGUGGCUCUGAUGGUUCGAGCCGUUCCUCGGCAGCACAGCACACCCGCUCCUGAGGAGCCACGGAGCUCAUGAGCGUUGGCAAAGUGCUGUCAGUGCUGGCUGUAAGGAAACAGGCUUGACUUUUAACUCAGCCUUUCCCAAACUUGACUAUAAUACUUUCUUGAAAAUCAGAAUAACCACUAACAUCACAAAACGAGUGUUCUCAGGAGUGGGCAUGUUUAUCUCGUUCUCUUUUUUUUUUUCUUUUUGAGACGGAGCCUCGCUCUGUUGCCCAGGCUGGAGUGCAAUGGUGCGAUCUCGACUCACGGCAAUCUCCGUCUCCCCGGUUCAAGCGAUUCUCCUGCCUCAGGCUCCCGAGUAGUUGGGAUUACAGGCGCACGCCACCACGCCCGAUUAAUGUUUAUUUUUAGUACAGACGGGGUUUCUCCAUGUUGGUCAGGAUGGUCUCGAACUCCUGACCUCAGGUGAGCCUCCUGCCUUGGCCUCCCAAAGUGCUGGGAUUAUAGGCGUGAGCCACCACGCCCAGUCUUUUUUUAAAUAUUUGAGUGAAAUAAAGCCUAGGAGAUAUGUGUUCCAGGCGCCCAAGCUGUUAAUGUGGAGCUUGAAUGUGGCCUGGACCUGCCCUUUCCUCUUCUCCUUUCAUCCCCCUCCCUGCCGCCCACAUCCUGAACUGCUCUGAGCCUGCAGAAGAACCCAGCGGGAAUCUUCAGGGUUGUGGAAGGGUGUAGGGAUGGAAAGGGACCAGGAUUCGCCUGUUUGGCUGGGAAAAUCGGUAGAGGAGGGUGGCUCACACUUCUAAGAUGUCUGCACAAGCCCAGUUUGUUUGGGGGUUGGGGAGGAAGGUCUUUUCCUGGCCCACUGUCCCUCCCGAGUCAGCAGUCCCCCAGAGAGACGAAGAGCAGCUGGGCACGGCUGGAGCUGGUCGGUGGCAGAGAAUCUUGUCCUGCCUUUUCUUCUCAAGCUCAAAAUAGGCACAUGCAGCUAUUAACUGAUAUGCCAGAAGGGGCAUCCCUUACCCGGAGGAAAAUGGAUUUAUUGCUUUAUAAAAAAGAAGUCUAAUAAAACUGAAGAGAAAAUAACUAAAAAUCCAAACACAACUCACCCCUCUAAGCACGCCCAGGAGGUCUCAAGACACACUUCUGGGGGCAGUCAAGGUGGGCGGGUUGGUGGGCCAGGCGGACGGGCCUGGCGGCUCCCGCCUGGUCAGUGGGGAUAAG
Molecule: long non-coding RNA, 3042 nt
Filed under: Homo sapiens (human)
Lineage: Eukaryota; Metazoa; Chordata; Mammalia; Primates; Hominidae
Description: HSALNT0235866
Source: RNAcentral